RNAcentral lists this ribosomal RNA (402 nucleotides) under Bacteroidota bacterium. Its description in RNAcentral is "Bacteroidetes bacterium partial 16S ribosomal RNA". It matches the Rfam family "Bacterial small subunit ribosomal RNA", at positions 355 to 776 of the family's 1533-position model. The record is from RNAcentral. Lineage: Bacteria; Pseudomonadati; Bacteroidota.
UGGGGAAUUUUGCACAAUGGGGGAAACCCUGAUGCAGCGACGCCGCGUGAUUUAGAAGGCCUUCGGGUUGUAAAAAUCUUUUCUAUGGGAAGAUAAUGACGGUACCAUAAGAAAAAGCCCCGGCUAACUACGUGCCAGCAGCCGCGGUAAUACGUAGGGGGCUAGCGUUGUCCGGAAUCACUGGGCGUAAAGGGUUCGCAGGCGGAAAUGCAAGUCAGGUGUAAAAGGCAGUAGCUUAACUACUGUAAGCAUUUGAAACUGCAUAUCUUGAGAAGAGUAGAGGUAAGUGGAAUUUUUAGUGUAGCGGUGAAAUGCGUAGAUAUUAAAAAGAAUACCGGUGGCGAAGGCGACUUACUGGGCUCAUUCUGACGCUGAGGAACGAAAGCGUGGGUAGCAAACAGG